GAUGAACGCUGGCGGUAUGCUUUACACAUGCAAGUCGUACGAGAGUUUUAACUCAAGUGGCGGACGGGUGAGUAACACGUAAGAAUUUACCUUUAGGAUGGGGAUAACAACUGGAAGCGGUUGCUAAUACCCCAUAUGCUUUCGAGUGAAAUGGAUUUUCCGCCUAGAGAGAAGCUUGCGGCUGAUUAGCUUGUUGGUAAGGUAAUGGCUUACCAAGGCGACGAUCAGUAUCUGGUCUGAGAGGAUGAUCAGACACACUGGAACUGAGACACGGUCCAGACUCCUACGGGAGGCAGCAGUGGGGAAUUUUCCGCAAUGGGCGAAAGCCUGACGGAGCAAUACCGCGUGAGGGAUGACGGCCUAUGGGUUGUAAACCUCUUUUUUCAGGGAGGAAGAAAAUGACGUGUACCUGAAGAAUAAGCAUCGGCUAACUCCGUGCCAGCAGCCGCGGUAAGACGGAGGAUGCAAGUGUUAUCCGGAAUCACUGGGCGUAAAGCGUCUGUAGGUGGUCAAAUAAGUCAACUGUUAAAUCUCGAGGCUCAACCUCGAAAUCGCAGUCGAAACUAU
RNAcentral lists this ribosomal RNA (567 nucleotides) under uncultured bacterium. Its description in RNAcentral is "bacterial SSU rRNA". It matches the Rfam family "Bacterial small subunit ribosomal RNA", at positions 28 to 636 of the family's 1533-position model. The record is from RNAcentral.